Molecule: long non-coding RNA, 629 nt
Organism: Arachis duranensis
Lineage: Eukaryota; Viridiplantae; Streptophyta; Magnoliopsida; Fabales; Fabaceae
Exons: 3
Source: RefSeq, a predicted model, not a curated record
CCCACAAAAAAAAAAGGAAACAGAAGUGCAUAGUCACGUGGGUGGCACAUGCCCCACUUAAACCCCUUCCCCCUCCUUAUUCUCUCGAGCCUUCCCUGGUCCCUCCCUCUCUCUUUUAUUUUUAUUUUCUUCAUACAAAUCAAAACCAAACCCUCUCUUUUCCUUCAUCUCAUCUUCCAUUCCAUCUUCUUCAUUUCAAAAUCUUCAUCCAACCACAACACACCAGAUUUCAUUUUACCCUUUUAUUUUAUCUCUAUUUUAAUAUAUCAUCUAUAUCCAAAGUAAAUUUUUAUUUUUCACAACCCCAAAUCAAGAAGCUCAUACUAAUGAGUGAAGGAAGCAUUUAAAUUUGAGUUCCAAUUAUUAUUGAGACUUCAAGAGUUGUAGAACUAUUGGACAUCAUUUGGUAGCUCGUUGACGCGCUCAGAGUUGCUUCCGGUUCUUUUGAAUCAAGUUUAUGUUACAAGUGAUUUGGUUUGGAUUGGUUUGGGAGACUCUGACUAGAAACUCGUAGUUAACGGCGGUUAUGACGUUAACCUAGAUGCAUCUGGCUCAGACCUCAGCUAGCAGGGGCGUUGCUAACCUAACGUGUAGGCCACACGUUGGAUCUGUUAUACCGUACGGGCACA